CUCGUAGGUGGUUUGUCGCGUCGUCUGUGAAAUUCCGGGGCUUAACUCCGGGCGUGCAGGCGAUACGGGCAUAACUUGAGUACUGUAGGGGUAACUGGGAUUCCUGGUGUAGCGGUGAAAUGCGCAGAUAUCAGGAGGAACACCGAUGGCGAAGGCAGGUUACUGGGCAGUUACUGACGCUGAGGAGCGAAAGCAGUGGGUAGCGAACA
Molecule: ribosomal RNA, 209 nt
Filed under: uncultured bacterium
Lineage: Bacteria
Description: partial 16S ribosomal RNA
Rfam family: Bacterial small subunit ribosomal RNA
Source: RNAcentral